This 205-nucleotide microRNA precursor is filed under the name Oryza sativa Indica Group (long-grained rice). RNAcentral's name for it is "MIR812 microRNA precursor family". It matches the Rfam family "MIR812 microRNA precursor family". The record is from Rfam by way of RNAcentral. Lineage: Eukaryota; Viridiplantae; Streptophyta; Magnoliopsida; Poales; Poaceae.
AAUGUAUGGCGCCGUUAACUUUUUAUCUAACGUUUGACCAUUCGUCUUAUUCAAAAAAUUUAUAUAAUUAUCAUUUAUUUUAUGGUGAUUUGAUUCAUCAUCAAAUGUUCUUUAAGCAUGAUAUAAAUAUUUUCAUGUUUGCACAAAAAAUUUGAAUAAAAUGAAUGGUCAAACGUUGAUAGAAAAGUUAACGGCGUCAUAUAUU